RNAcentral lists this ribosomal RNA (255 nucleotides) under uncultured bacterium. Its description in RNAcentral is "partial 16S ribosomal RNA". It matches the Rfam family "Bacterial small subunit ribosomal RNA", at positions 99 to 354 of the family's 1533-position model. The record is from RNAcentral.
CGGACGGGUGAGUAACGCGUGGAGAACCUGCCGUAUACUGGGGGAUAACACUUAGAAAUAGAUGCUAAUACCGCAUAAGCGCACAGCUUCGCAUGAAGCAGUGUGAAAAACUCCGGUGGUAUACGAUGGAUCCGCGUCUGAUUAGCUUGUUGGCGGGGUAAAGGCCCACCAAGGCGACGAUCAGUAGCCGGCCUGAGAGGGUGAACGGCCACAUUGGGACUGAGACACGGCCCAAACUCCUACGGGAGGCAGCAG